ACUACAUGUACAGGAUAGGUGGGAGGCUUUGGAACCAGGAAGCCAGUUUUGGCGGAGCCAUCCUUGGGAUACCACCCUUGGAGUACUGGGACUCUAACCAUAGGCCAUGAAUCUGGUCUUGGGACACGGUCAGGUGGGCAGUUUGACUGGGGCGGUCGCCUCCCAAAAGGUAACGGAGGCGCUCAAAGGUUCUCUCAGUACGGUCGGAAAUCGUACGUAGAGUGUAAAGGCAAAAGAGAGCUUGAUUGCAAGACAUACAGG
RNAcentral lists this ribosomal RNA (261 nucleotides) under Clostridioides difficile. Its description in RNAcentral is "partial 23S ribosomal RNA". It matches the Rfam family "Bacterial large subunit ribosomal RNA", at positions 2129 to 2388 of the family's 2925-position model. Lineage: Bacteria; Bacillati; Bacillota; Clostridia; Peptostreptococcales; Peptostreptococcaceae. The record is from RNAcentral.